Molecule: ribosomal RNA, 239 nt
Filed under: uncultured bacterium
Lineage: Bacteria
Description: partial small subunit ribosomal RNA
Rfam family: Bacterial small subunit ribosomal RNA
Source: RNAcentral
AGAGCGAACGCUGGCGGCAGGCUUAACACAUGCAAGUCGAGCGGGCGUAGCAAUACGUCAGCGGCAGACGGGUGAGUAACGCGUGGGAACAUACCUUUUGGUUCGGAACAACACAGGGAAACUUGUGCUAAUACCGGAUAAGCCCUUACGGGGAAAGAUUUAUCGCCUUUAGAGCGGCCCGCGUCUGAUUAGCUUGUUGGUGAGGUAAAGGCUCACCAAGGCUACGAUCAGUAGCUGGU